ACUGAGAAUAGCGUCACGUCUUUACACGUUCCGUUGUUCUGGUGUGCUAUCAUUCUCAGACAUAAACUUCUGGUCCUCAUUCACUGGCUGAGAUACCUCAUAUCUCAGUCAGCUACCAAAUCAGAGACAGUA
Non-coding RNA from Colinus virginianus (northern bobwhite), 132 nucleotides. The record is from Rfam. Lineage: Eukaryota; Metazoa; Chordata; Aves; Galliformes; Odontophoridae.